This 466-nucleotide ribosomal RNA is filed under the name Vreelandella stevensii. Its description in RNAcentral is "partial 16S ribosomal RNA". It matches the Rfam family "Bacterial small subunit ribosomal RNA", at positions 338 to 795 of the family's 1533-position model. The record is from RNAcentral. Lineage: Bacteria; Pseudomonadati; Pseudomonadota; Gammaproteobacteria; Oceanospirillales; Halomonadaceae.
CCUACCGGGUGGCAGCAGUGGGGAAUAUUGGACAAUGGGCGAAAGCCUGAUCCAGCCAUGCCGCGUGUGUGAAGAAGGCCUUCGGGUUGUAAAGCACUUUCAGUGGGGAAGAAAGCCUUGGGGCUAAUACCCUCGAGGAAGGACAUCACCCACAGAAGAAGCACCGGCUAACUCCGUGCCAGCAGCCGCGGUAAUACGGAGGGUGCGAGCGUUAAUCGGAAUUACUGGGCGUAAAGCGCGCGUAGGCGGUCUGAUAAGCCGGUUGUGAAAGCCCCGGGCUCAACCUGGGAACGGCAUCCGGAACUGUCAGGCUAGAGUGCAGGAGAGGAAGGUAGAAUUCCCGGUGUAGCGGUGAAAUGCGUAGAGAUCGGGAGGAAUACCAGUGGCGAAGGCGGCCUUCUGGACUGACACUGACGCUGAGGUGCGAAAGCGUGGGUAGCAAACAGGAUUAGAUACCCUUGUAGUC